RNAcentral lists this ribosomal RNA (487 nucleotides) under uncultured bacterium. RNAcentral describes it as "bacterial SSU rRNA". It matches the Rfam family "Bacterial small subunit ribosomal RNA", at positions 36 to 518 of the family's 1533-position model. The record is from RNAcentral.
CUGGCGGCGUGCCUAACACAUGCAAGUCGAACGAAGCACUGCGGAUGGAGAUUCGUCAAAAUCUGCUUUGACUUAGUGGCGGACGGGUGAGUAAUGUGUGAGCAACCUGCCUUUCAGAGGGGGACAACAGUUGGAAACGACUGCUAAUACCGCAUAAUGUAUUGGAAGGGCAUCCUUUUUGAUACCAAAGGGGCAAUCCGCUGAAAGAUGGGCUCACAUCUGAUUAGCUAGUUGGUGGGGUAACGGCCUACCAAGGCUGCGAUCAGUAGCCGGACUGAGAGGUUGAACGGCCACAUUGGGACUGAGAUACGGCCCAGACUCCUACGGGAGGCAGCAGUGGGGAAUAUUGGGCAAUGGGCGAAAGCCUCGACCCAGCAACGCCGCGUGAAGGAAGAAGGUCUUCGGAUUGUAAACUUCUUUUAUGAGGGACGAAGGACGUGACGGUACCUCAUGAAUAAGCCACGGCUAACUACGUGCCAGCAGCAGC